AUAAACUGAAUCAAAAGAUUUCUGAUUUUAAAGUACUCCUUCACAAGUACAACCUCACAUCCUUGUGAAGACUCCAUUUCUGGUUUAUUUGUUCACAAGUAUAACCUCACAAGUACUCCAUUUCUGGUUUAUUUGUUCUUACUCCUUCACAAGUACUCCUUCAUCGUACACACUCUGUCUUCCUUCACAAGGAUGUGAGGUUGAACGGUGUGUUUUCUCCAUUAACGUCGAUCGACGGGCAUCGUGUUCAGAGUUCCUAACUUCACGGUCCCAUCGCUGCCGUCCAUUUCCUAUUCUACGAUCCGGAACGGUUGAAUUUCAGAUCCAGACGUUUAUGUAUUGGUAUAUAUAUGAGAGAGAAAGAGGAGAGAGAAAAUGAAUGAGAUGAAUUUAAUUGGUGAGGUAUGAACUGUCAGUUCAACAGCAGAAAAUAGACAUUAAUGAUGGUGGAAAAAGAAGGGUAUAGAAGAAAAAUAAAUAGGUAAAAUAUUUUUGAUUUUAUAGAACGUUAAAUAUUUAAAAAAAAAAAAAUACUCUAAAACGUCAGAUGUAAUAAAAUGGAGGGAGUAAUAUUAAGGGUGAAAAUUUCUUAAGACAAUGAGAGAAUGUAG
RNAcentral lists this long non-coding RNA (611 nucleotides) under Panax ginseng (ginseng). RNAcentral's name for it is "long non-coding RNA (PGIN_LNC018274)". The record is from RNAcentral. Lineage: Eukaryota; Viridiplantae; Streptophyta; Magnoliopsida; Apiales; Araliaceae.